GGAGAGACAGAGAGGAUGUGAAUGGGGAGGGGGCAGUCGUCCCCUUCCCCCACCCUUCCCUUCUAGCCGGGCUGGGGUGGGGGGAGGGGCCGGACUGAGGCGGCGGCGGCGGCGGCCAGCUCCGGGAGGGCAGAGCCGGCAAGGGCGGGACUGGCCCGCUGCGGACGGACGAGGGAACCGCGGAGCUAACGGGUCCGGACGCCGCCAGCGGCGGCGGCUUUCUGCACGGGCGGAGGCGGCGACAGGAGCGGCGAGCAUGGCCCGCGCGGCGCCCGGCGCUGACUGAGGAUCAGGGUAGGAAGCAUCCCAGAGGGACCCUGAAAGUGGCUCCACUGAAACGUGGAGCUUUUCCUGCUCCCAGAAAAGCAGCAGGGCCUGAGAAAGAGCAGGGCGCCCCGAGCUGUUGUGGCAUGACAUACGGACCCCAGAGAGCAGUCCUGGUCCUGCCCUGCCCUUCCUGGAAUCCUUCAGCUGUCAAGUCCUAGCACCACCAUAAGGCAACAGCCUCCCAGCCUCACCAGGGUCAUGCUGCGGCAGCCUGGCGCCUGACGGAGUGAGGGGGAACCUGCCGGGGGAUUACUGCUAGCGCGAGCGGAACAGCGGGACAGCAGCGGGACAGCAGCCCUCAGGGGACUGGGGAUGGGCAGAACAGC
Long non-coding RNA from Mustela lutreola (European mink), 653 nucleotides. RefSeq lists it as uncharacterized. The record is from RefSeq and is a predicted model, not a curated record. Lineage: Eukaryota; Metazoa; Chordata; Mammalia; Carnivora; Mustelidae. The transcript is spliced from 3 exons.